GAUGAACGCUGGCGGCGUGCCUAAUACAUGCAAGUCGAGCGAACAGACGAGGAGCUUGCUCCUCUGACGUUAGCGGCGGACGGGUGAGUAACACGUGGAUAACCUACCUAUAAGACUGGGAUAACUUCGGGAAACCGGAGCUAAUACCGGAUAAUAUAUUGAACCGCAUGGUUCAAUAGUGAAAGACGGUUUUGCUGUCACUUAUAGAUGGAUCCGCGCCGCAUUAGCUAGUUGGUAAGGUAACGGCUUACCAAGGCAACGAUGCGUAGCCGACCUGAGAGGGUGAUCGGCCACACUGGAACUGAGACACGGUCCAGACUCCUACGGGAGGCAGCAGUAGGGAAUCUUCCGCAAAGGGCGAAAGCUUGACGGAGCAACGCCGCGUGAGUGAUGAAGGUCUUCGGAUCGUAAAACUCUGUUAUUAGGGAAGAACAAAUGUGUAAGUAACUAUGCACGUCUUGACGGUACCUAAUCAGAAAGCCACGCCUAACUACGUG
Molecule: ribosomal RNA, 497 nt
Filed under: uncultured bacterium
Lineage: Bacteria
Description: partial 16S ribosomal RNA
Rfam family: Bacterial small subunit ribosomal RNA
Source: RNAcentral